AUACGUAGGUGACAAGCGUUAUCCGGAUUUACUGGGCGUAAAGGGCGUGUAGGCGGUCUUGCAAGUCAGAAGUGAAAUUCCUGAGCUCAACUCGGGCGCUGCUUCUGAAACUGCAGGACUUGAGUGCUGGAGGGGAUAGCGGAAUUCCUAGUGGAGCGGUAAAAUGCGCAGAUAUAAGGAAGAACACCGGAGGCGAAGGCGGCUAGCUGGACAUUACCGGACGCUGGGGCGCGAAAGCUUGGGGAGAAAAAAGGAUUGUAUACCCUGGUAUUCCACGCCGUAAACGAUGAAUACUAGGGGUAGGGGGUAUCGACGCCCUCUGUGCCGCAGUUAACACAAUAAGUAUUCCGCCUGGGGAGUACGGCCGCAAGGUUGAAACUCAAAUGAAUUGACGGGG
This 397-nucleotide ribosomal RNA is filed under the name uncultured bacterium. RNAcentral describes it as "partial 16S ribosomal RNA". It matches the Rfam family "Bacterial small subunit ribosomal RNA", at positions 523 to 918 of the family's 1533-position model. The record is from RNAcentral.